RNAcentral lists this ribosomal RNA (253 nucleotides) under uncultured bacterium. RNAcentral describes it as "partial 16S ribosomal RNA". It matches the Rfam family "Bacterial small subunit ribosomal RNA", at positions 524 to 776 of the family's 1533-position model. The record is from RNAcentral.
UACGAAGGACCCGAGCGUUAUCCGGAUUUAUUGGGUUUAAAGGGUGCGUAGGCGGACAUGCAAGUCAGUGGUGAAAUCUCCCUGCUUAACAGGGAAACUGCCAUUGAAACUAUGUGUCUUGAGUACAUUUGAGGCGGGCGGAAUGUGUCAUGUAGAGGUGAAAUUCUUAGAUAUGACACAGAACACCGAUUGCGAAGGCAGCUCACUAAAGUGUAACUGACGCUGAGGCACGAAAGCGUGGGGAUCAAACAGG